Molecule: transfer RNA, 90 nt
Filed under: bacterium
Lineage: Bacteria
Also listed under: 2 other names
Description: tRNA-Ser
Rfam family: tRNA
About the family: Transfer RNA (tRNA) molecules are approximately 80 nucleotides in length. Their secondary structure includes four short double-helical elements and three loops (D, anti-codon, and T loops).
Source: RNAcentral
GGAGAGGUGGCAGAGCGGUUGAAUGCACUAGUCUUGAAAACUAGCGAGGAUUCACGUCCUCCGAGGGUUCGAAUCCCUCCCUCUCCGCCA